UCCCCGGGGCUACCUUGGCUGUCCGGCCCCGCAGGGGACAUGUCACCCGGGGAGGGAUGCAGGAAUGUCACCGGGGGAUGGAGGGAUGAAGGAGAUUUUGGGGGGGGGGGGAUGCAGCCAUGUCACCCACAGGGAUGCACCCCCGGUGUCACCCAGCCGGGGUGUCAAGCGUGCACACGUGUGAGCUCCAGCAGCGCUUUUGCCCACCCACGCUGCUGGUGCAAGAAAUCGUCCCCACGUCACUGUUUUGCCCGGGAGCCACCGGCUCCGCUGCCGUCCGUCCGGUGAUGCUCUGGGGGCUGGUACGACUCGCUGCUGCGGUACAACCUCAUGGAGGUCAUCACAGUCACCCUUGGGAGGAGCAGGGACAGGGCAGGGAUCCCUGCGGGUCCCGAGGAUGCACUCAUGGCCUGUUUCUUCACCUUCUCCCCCACUGCUUUAAACCCCAAAAGCCACAGGGUCACCCAGAGCUCUCUGCUCGGGGCCGUCGGGGCCCGUUCCCGUCCCUGCUGCCGCGUGCUUGAUCACGAAGCUGCAGCAGAGGCAUCUGCCAGGUGCUGCAGUGGCUCUUCUCGGGAUGAUGUGAUCUUCUCCUGCACCCAGGCUGGUCCAGCGAGACAAAACACGGCACAGGGAAGGCAGCGCGGGGCUGAGCCCCUCUAGCGCAUCUCUUCCCUGGGAGAUGCUCUUUGCUUGAGCAGCACAAACUGCUGCAGGCUGGGAAACAGCAAACCCAGCACCCUUCAGUUUAAAUACUUUUUUUUUUUUCCCCUAUAAGCAUAGGUUGCCAUGCUUGGACACGGGCCUGCAGCAUCAGAGUGCUGAGGAUGUUUCUCAGUGAUAGGAGCAGGCUCUCCUGCCCUUGAGCCAGUCCUUCUCACAGGAAAGCCUUUGCCCUUUGUGCAGGUGCAGCUUUUUUUUUGGAAAGCAGCCGAGCGCUGCUGGCCUUUGCAGGACGGUGCAGUCCUCAGAGACCUGCCUGCACCGCAGCCCUGCGCUGCAGCUUGGGGGGCCGGGCAAGGAAGACCUGGGUUUGGGGAAGGAGGGGGGGGAAGAGCCGUCUUUUUUGCCUUGCAGCUGUGGGCUGGAUGCAGAGCGGGGCUGGACCGACCGUGAGCAUCCAGCCAGUGACCCCAUUUUUUUGACAUGUCGGUGUUUGGGACAUUUUUCUGAGACAUCAAAGAUGUUGGUGUACAACCACGUCCCAGAUGUUGAAGGCUUGGUGGCCCAGCUGCUCCCAUGGUGACGGUGGUGUUGUCAAGGGAGAAAGUGAAAGGUCACUUCUCCAUGGCCUAAAUUGGAAAGCAAAGUCCAGAGAAAGUUUCCGUGUGUGUGUGUGGACAGCAGCAGAGCACCAGAGAGGAGUUAGAGAAAAAAAAAAACAUCAUAUAGGUAAAUCGGUGGUGAUCACCACCUGAGAGUCAGUGGGUUCACAGGGGAGACCCCCUAAAGCCCAUCCGGGGGGGCUUAAAUGGCCUCAUCCUGCAAAGAGGCUGGUGGCUGCCAGCGUGUGUAGAGAUCCUGGGCAGGCACAGAGCCCCAGCAACAAGCACAGAUGGGUUUUCCAGUCCAUUAAUAAAGGUCUGUAAAUGCUCAGCCUUACUGAUCAAUACAGUUUCUAUUCCAAGGCUGUGAAACAACAGUCAGAAACGGAGCGAAGGACAUUAUUUAAACAUAAUAAAAGAGAGAGAGGGAGCCAGCCAGCAAGCACCCAAGCUCAGCAUUGACCCCUUGUCUUUUUCAGCCGCAGCAGUUAACCAUUUGCAAUCCCUCAAUUAUACUUUAACAUGCUUUUAUCUUUCUCCGCGCCACCGGGAAAGGCUGACGACCAGCCGCCGGCGCAGCCCUGCUCCGUGCUCGGCUCCGGCCGGGGCCGCAGCGAGCGUUCGGGUCCAGCUGGCGCCCGGACAGACGCCACCAGCUCGAGCAAACAGAGCUAAAAGCCGCUUCCCUGGCUCCUGGGAAUGGCUACUGUCAAUAUUUGCACGAGAGAGUCAGGCUCUGCGUGUCUUCAGGGGUUUGGAGAGCUUGGUUAUGGCCUGUAGAGAAUAGCUGGGGAAAAAAAAAAAUCUGUGUCAUGGGGUUAAGGAGGUGAAAAGAUGCCGUAACUUCAGCGCUCGUGGGGCUCAAGGCAAGGUUGGUGGGCAUCCCAGUCCCUACCCCAGGCUGAUGCUGCGGUGGGCACAGCCGCCUGCCCCAAUGGGUCGGGGCUUCCCGGUGCCCCGGCUCCCCACGAGCAGCAGCAGCUAUUUCAAAGCCUGGCUUUGCUUUUUUGGGUGCUGAUGCUUCUCCUCCAUGUUCAGCCUUUCCUUCCCCCAGCAAAGCACAG
Long non-coding RNA from Harpia harpyja (harpy eagle), 2329 nucleotides. RefSeq lists it as uncharacterized. The transcript is spliced from 2 exons. The record is from RefSeq and is a predicted model, not a curated record. NCBI's taxonomy places the organism in Eukaryota, Metazoa, Chordata, Aves, Accipitriformes, Accipitridae.